GAUGAACGCUGGCGGCGUGCUUAACACAUGCAAGUCGAACGAUGAAGCCCAGCUUGCUGGGUGGAUUAGUGGCGAACGGGUGAGUAACACGUGAGUAACCUGCCCUUGACUCUGGGAUAAGCCUGGGAAACUGGGUCUAAUACUGGAUAUGACUUCUCAUCGCAUGGUGGGGGGUGGAAAGAUUUAUUGGUCUUGGAUGGACUCGCGGCCUCUCAGCUUGUUGGUGAGGUAAUGGCUCACCAAGGCGACGACGGGUAGCCGGCCUGAGAGGGUGACCGGCCACACUGGGACUGAGACACGGCCCAGACUCCUACGGGAGGCAGCAGUGGGGAAUAUUGCACAAUGGGCGCAAGCCUGAUGCAGCUACGCCGCGUGAGGGAUGACGGCCUUCGGGUUGUAAACCUCUUUCAGUAGGGAAGAAGCGAGAGUGACGGUACCUGCAGAAGAAGCGCCGGCUAACUACGUG
This 466-nucleotide ribosomal RNA is filed under the name uncultured bacterium. Its description in RNAcentral is "partial 16S ribosomal RNA". It matches the Rfam family "Bacterial small subunit ribosomal RNA", at positions 28 to 507 of the family's 1533-position model. The record is from RNAcentral.